UUUCAGACUUUAUUUUCUUAAUGUGUCUUUUAUUUAUUUUCAAUUGCAUUUUUUUUAUCAGUUCCAUUGCUGCGAAUCACAUUUUCUAAAAUAGCAAAUAUCAAGAAUCUAUUGGCGAUGUUCCCACCGUGUUUUCCCUUAAUCCAUGUCUCAGAAAUAGAAGAGAAUAUAUCAUUACUACAUGACUUUUAACCCGGAUGAUUACAACUUUAGCUCUGUUGAAUACAUUUGGACUACACAAUUACCCUCACUGCCAAAUUUGUAAUCUUGAAAAUAACAUUGAACAUAUCAUCAUGUUUUGUUCCAAAUACACAAAUCAUAGGUCAAAUCUUUUAGCAAAACUUAAUAUCGGUCUUCAUUCUUGCUCUUCAUUCAAAACGUUUAUUCAAAAAGCUGUUACUAAUAAGCAGUAUCUCCGGGUACUUCUACAAUCUCUGAAAUUUUUUAACAUCUAUUGAAUGGACUCUUUCGGAGGGAUAACGGCCUUUGUUGCCAAAAUUCCCAUUCUCAUCCAAUUUCAAUCAACCAAUCAAUUCCGUAUCUGCUUUUUCAGGACUCGGAAUUUCUUGUACAUUUCUUUACAGGACAUUAAUGAAUCUUGAAUUGUACUUUUGGUGUUGUUUAUUUAAAGGCUGAGGUUUAUUGAAAAUAGAAAGGAGAGAAGUAUCCACAUUCCUACCUUGCUUGUGGAGAUGUUGCGUGGAAAAAAGGCCAUGAUAUCUGUCUUGGUGUUGCUGGAAAUUCUUAUAUGUUUUUGCUCUUGUAUUGUCUGAGGGAUAAUCAGAAAUACUUGCACUAUACUCUGCAAUUUGCUAACUUUCUGACAUGCUGAAUUUGAAUGAUGUAUGAUCAGGAAUGUGCACAGACUAUAGUUUCAUUUAAAAUUUUUAUUGUAUUGUGAAUAUUCCUUUUUGUGGCGGCUGUGCUUUGUUUUUCAUGUUCUUGUUGAUUAGAACAGACAAAAACACUGGAAUAGUUAUUGGUAAUUAAAAAUGUUAAAAUGUCA
This is a long non-coding RNA of Argiope bruennichi, 1006 nucleotides long. RefSeq lists it as uncharacterized. NCBI's taxonomy places the organism in Eukaryota, Metazoa, Arthropoda, Arachnida, Araneae, Araneidae. The transcript is spliced from 2 exons. The record is from RefSeq and is a predicted model, not a curated record.